RNAcentral lists this ribosomal RNA (404 nucleotides) under Actinomycetes bacterium. RNAcentral's name for it is "Actinobacteria bacterium partial 16S ribosomal RNA". It matches the Rfam family "Bacterial small subunit ribosomal RNA", at positions 355 to 776 of the family's 1533-position model. Lineage: Bacteria; Bacillati; Actinomycetota; Actinomycetes. The record is from RNAcentral.
UGGGGAAUAUUGGACAAUGGGCGCAAGCCUGAUCCAGCCAUGCCGCGUGAGUGAUGAAGGCCCUAGGGUUGUAAAGCUCUUUCACCGGUGAAGAUAAUGACGGUAACCGGAGAAGAAGCCCCGGCUAACUUCGUGCCAGCAGCCGCGGUAAUACGAAGGGGGCUAGCGUUGUUCGGAUUUACUGGGCGUAAAGCGCACGUAGGCGGACUAUUAAGUCAGGGGUGAAAUCCCGGGGCUCAACCCCGGAACUGCCUUUGAUACUGGUAGUCUUGAGUUCGAGGGAGGUGGGUGGAAUUCCGAGUGUAGAGGUGAAAUUCGGAGAUAUUCGGAGGAACAACAGUGGCGAAGGCGGCUCACUGGCUGGAUACUGACGCUGAGGUGCGAAAGCGGGGGGAGCAAACAGG